GGAGGAAGGUGGGGAUGACGUCAAGUCAUCAUGGCCCUUACGACCAGGGCUACACACGUGCUACAAUGGCGCAUACAAAGAGAAGCGACCUCGCGAGAGCAAGCGGACCUCAUAAAGUGCGUCGUAGUCCGGAUUGGAGUCUGCAACUCGACUCCAUGAAGUCGGAAUCGCUAGUAAUCGUGGAUCAGAAUGCCACGGUGAAUACGUUCCCGGGCCUUGUACACACCGCCCGUCACACCAUGGGAGUGGGUUGCAAAAGAAGUAGGUAGCUUAACCUUCGGGAGGGCGCUUACCACUUUGUGAUUCAUGACUGGGGUGAAGUCGUAACAAGGUAACCGUAGGGGAACCUGCGGUUGGAUCAC
RNAcentral lists this ribosomal RNA (362 nucleotides) under Escherichia coli. Its description in RNAcentral is "bacterial SSU rRNA". It matches the Rfam family "Bacterial small subunit ribosomal RNA", at positions 1165 to 1526 of the family's 1533-position model. Lineage: Bacteria; Pseudomonadati; Pseudomonadota; Gammaproteobacteria; Enterobacterales; Enterobacteriaceae. The record is from RNAcentral.